AACGGCCAUACCAUGCUGAAUAUACCGGUUCUCGUUAGAUCACCGAAGUCAAGCAUCAUUGGGCGCGGUCAGUACUUGGGUGGGUGACCACCUGGGAACACCGCGCCGUUGGC
RNAcentral lists this ribosomal RNA (113 nucleotides) under Caerostris extrusa. Lineage: Eukaryota; Metazoa; Arthropoda; Arachnida; Araneae; Araneidae. The record is from RNAcentral.